Molecule: ribosomal RNA, 110 nt
Filed under: uncultured bacterium
Lineage: Bacteria
Description: partial 16S ribosomal RNA
Source: RNAcentral
CGUUCCCGGACCUUGUACCACACCGCCCGUCAAGCCAUGGAAGCUGGGAGGACCUGAAGGCAGUUGCCUGCAAGGCGCUGUUUAGGGUAAAACCGGUCGACUCGGGGCUA